RNAcentral lists this ribosomal RNA (480 nucleotides) under uncultured bacterium. RNAcentral describes it as "bacterial SSU rRNA". It matches the Rfam family "Bacterial small subunit ribosomal RNA", at positions 26 to 518 of the family's 1533-position model. The record is from RNAcentral.
GGCUCGAGGACGAACGCUGGCGGCGUGCCUAACACAUGCAAGUCGAGCGAGGAGAUCCUCGGGAUGAUCCUAGCGGCGGACGGGUGAGUAACACGUGGGCAACCUGCCUCAUAGAGAGGAAUAGCCUUCCGAAAGGGAGAUUAAUACCUCAUAACAUUGCAGUUUCGCAUGGAACAGCAAUUAAAGGAGUAAUCCGCUAUGAGAUGGGCCCGCGGCGCAUUAGCUAGUUGGUGAGGUAACGGCUCACCAAGGCGACGAUGCGUAGCCGACCUGAGAGGGUGAUCGGCCACAUUGGGACUGAGACACGGCCCAGACUCCUACGGGAGGCAGCAGGUGGGGAAUAUUGCACAAUGGGGAAACCCUGAUGCAGCCAACGCCGCGUGAGUGAUGACGGCCUUCGGGUUGUAAAGCUCUGUCUUCAGGGACGAUAAUGACGGUACCUGAGGAGGAAGCCACGGCUAACUACGUGCCAGCAGCAGC